This 304-nucleotide long non-coding RNA is filed under the name Homo sapiens (human). RNAcentral's name for it is "HSALNT0361418". Lineage: Eukaryota; Metazoa; Chordata; Mammalia; Primates; Hominidae. The record is from RNAcentral.
UACAAAAUGACUCUGGUUUCCAUCUUGCUCACCCUGAGGGAAGCCAAGCUGCCAUGUUGUAAGCUGCCCUAUGAAGGGACCCACAUGGCAAAGAAUGGAGAAUGACCCCAGCCAGCCAAGAACUCUCAGCCUACCGGCCCAUGAGGAACUGAAUCCUGCCAACAGCGAUGUGAGUGAACUUGGAAGUGGAUCCUUCUCCAGUGGCACCAUCAGCAAGAAGGCCCUCACCAGAUGCAGGCCUCUCAACCUUGGACUUUCCAGCCUCCAGAAUUGUAAGAAAUAAAUCUCUAUUCUUUAUAAAUUA